Molecule: long non-coding RNA, 476 nt
Filed under: Vigna radiata
Lineage: Eukaryota; Viridiplantae; Streptophyta; Magnoliopsida; Fabales; Fabaceae
Description: long non-coding RNA (VRAD_LNC009150)
Source: RNAcentral
CCGGGAAGUUUUCUCGAAAAGUGUGCGAGUGAGGACAAAACACACUGGAAAGCCUCGUGGUGAUGUGUGGGUGUCGGGAUGUUACAAAGGGAAAGCUUCCCAGUACCCCAAAUAACCUCCAAGAGCCUUUUCCAGUCACUCUAAGUGAAAAAUUAAGUGUACAAGGAGAAUAAUCCACAAAACCUCGCAAGAAACAUGUUUAAAUAACCCAUUUUGACAUCUCAGCGACGCCACCACUCAAGCCCCCUUUUGGGGCACUGAACGUCGUUGCACCUGGUCCUGUUGCACUCAGGCCCCCUUUCUGGGGCGCUCAAGCCCCCUUUCUGAAUCACUCAACCCCAUUGCACCUGGCCCUGUCGCACUUAGGCCCUUCUCAACUCCCUAGCACUUUGACAACAUUUUGAAAUUUAAGCACUUGCAUGAUUCUAAAGGCGUCCAACAUGGGUAUUUGCUUCAAAUUGAUAUUUUCUUGUCCC